Molecule: ribosomal RNA, 497 nt
Filed under: uncultured bacterium
Lineage: Bacteria
Description: partial 16S ribosomal RNA
Rfam family: Bacterial small subunit ribosomal RNA
Source: RNAcentral
GAUGAACGCUGGCGGCGUGCCUAAUACAUGCAAGUCGAGCGAACAGACGAGGAGCUUUCUCCUCUGACGUUAGCGGCGGACUGGUGAGUAACACGUGGAUAACCUACCUAUAAGACUGGGAUACCUUCGGGAAACUGGAGCUAAUACCGGAUAAUAUAUUGACCCGCAUGGUUCAAUAGUGAAAGACGGUUUUGCUGUCACUUAUAGAUGUAUCCGUGCCUCAUUAGCUAGUUGGUAAGGUAACGGCUUACAGAGGCAACGAUGCGUAGCCGACCUGAGCGGGUGAUCGGCCACACUGGAACAGAGACACGGUCCAGACUCCUACGGGAGGCAGCAGUAGGGAAUCUUCCGCAAUGGGCUAAAGCCUGACGGAGCAACGCCGCGUGAGUGAUGAAGGUCUUCGGAUCGUAAAACUCUGUUAUUAGGGAAGAACAAAUGUGUAAGUAACUAUGCACGUCUUGACGGUACCUAAUCAGAAAGCCACGGCUAACUACGUG